AAAACACACGCACACCACUCAAAAUUUCCUCUGCUCUCUUUCUCCUUCAAGCUAAAAACCCUAAUUCACUAAUCUCUUCACAUAAGCAAAGCACAGAGACAUCUCUCACUCCUUCAUCUCUCCCUCUUGAUUUCCCUUACCUGCAAAUACCCCAUCCCCCACUUCUUUUAUAACUCACCCCAUAAACCCCUCCCUGUUAACCACCACCACCACCACCGUCUGGUGGUGGUGCGACGUCAGAACCGAGAAAAGAAGGGGGUGGCGGCGAGGAGAGAGAGACCCGAGAUGGCAGAUAGGAGACCGCCGCUCACGGCGGCGAGGCGGCGACGACGUGGCUUAUCGGUGGCGGCGGAGAGAGAGAGACGGAAAGAGGAGGAGGAGCCGUCGAGCUCCGGCGAGCGGCGACGGCGACAGGCGGCAGCGCCGCCAUGGCGGCGGUGGUAGUGCUCUGAUUCGACAAAAUUCACGAUUGAUAAGGGUGUGCAGUUUUAAUUCCAGUUUGGCUCGGAAACUACGGCUCGGGAUCCUCGGUUCGGCUCAAUGGUUAACCGGUUAAGUCAUGGGUCUCGGUUCAGUUCAGAUGUCGAUUCUGAUCUCGUAGGUUCCGGUUCAGAUUUUGGGUCACGGUCAAAGUCAGUCAACAGGUCAAAGCUCGGUCAACCUGAUUCAACUCGGUCAAACCGAGUCAACUCAGUCAACUACAGUCAAUAAUGGUCAAACCAGUCCGCACGCGACCCGGUAAAGUUAACGACGCGAAAUUUAGUUAGCUCGAUAUAGUUUUUAAGAUUCUCAGUUAAACUCGCAACCGAGCUCGACCCGAUUAAAUAACGCCUAUAUAUUAGCGACCUUGUUUUGAUUUUGGCGCAUUUGACAAGAUUAUUAUAUAUUGUUUGGAUUAUUGUUGAA
Long non-coding RNA from Helianthus annuus (common sunflower), 906 nucleotides. RefSeq lists it as uncharacterized. NCBI's taxonomy places the organism in Eukaryota, Viridiplantae, Streptophyta, Magnoliopsida, Asterales, Asteraceae. The transcript has 2 exons. The record is from RefSeq and is a predicted model, not a curated record.